RNAcentral lists this long non-coding RNA (1481 nucleotides) under Sus scrofa (pig). Its description in RNAcentral is "lncRNA (ENSSSCG00050050934.1)". The record is from RNAcentral. Lineage: Eukaryota; Metazoa; Chordata; Mammalia; Artiodactyla; Suidae.
UGAUGGCAGUUGAGCAGAGACUUUGAGGAUGAGUGGAGUUUACUGAAUGGACAGAGGUAGAAAGAGAUUUCACAGAAUCACUAAAGGUGAACUACGCGUAGGAAAGUCUGGACAAAGGGAAGAAAAAUGGGGCUUGUUUUCCGAUCAAGAUUUUGGGGAGCCAAACAUUUGGAGAGACGAGGCGUUCCGUUGUGCCUGGCAGUGUUCCAUGCGUUCCAUCAGUGGACAAACAGAAGCUGCAUGUCUCCUGGUGAAUGACCGUGAGAACAACAUGGAAUCCGAGAGGACAACUGUAAUGUUGGGAGCGAACCCAAAUUCCACCUACUGAAGGAACACAACACCCUUUAACCAAAGGCAAAGGCACUAUCACCCAGCAUACAGAUGCCCAGCAAUUGUCUGGCGCCACGGUGGGUGGGCAGGGAGGGUGACAUCCUGUGUUCCUUCGGCCAUCUCUUAACUGUGCUGCCUUUGCCUGACUUUCCUUGUUGAUUGAACUGCAUGCCACUCAUCUCUCAGUGUCAAUUCAAACGUAUUAAACGGCUCUUCGUCUUAUCAGCUUUCAACCAUCUACUCAUCAGUGGACCAGAAAGGAGGCUGGCUCGUUUCUUUUUCCUGUCAAGUCACCAAAAGGGGCUGGGAGUUCCGAUAAGGGCCUCGAAGUGGCAAACCAUAUAGACUUGAGCCAAGCUCUGGAGAAGGAAGAGGUCUUUAAGUCCUAGAACGAUAGCACUGGAACUAUUUGACCCACUGGCUGGCAUUUGCCGCAUGCCACCCAAGGGCGUUGUAGCUACUACAUAAACGUGGUGUAAAGAGACGUCAUUGGCAGCCAGAACGCAUAUUCUCAGUUGCUUUCCAUCUCUGCUGGUCCAGGCAUCCUUACAGACCACUGUCGGGUUCUGUAAAGUCAGAAAGCCACCUGAAGCACCAGUGAUAGCCAUCUUGUGACUGUGACCAAGUGGCUGCUGAACAGUUCUUAAUGUCCUCAGCCUCAGCAGGAAACCACUGAAUCUAUAAAGUCCUGUCCCACAGAAAUGAGUCAGAUGGUGGAUGGUCUGGUUAACCCCGAUUGCCUUUGGUGCCUGAGGGAGUUGAUCUUUGCUCAUCAUGAAGGCUUACCCAUCUAGUGAACGCCGCAAGUAGAAACUGCCCGGCGUCGGUCUGAACAGCCCAUUUCCGUGGUAGCAGCCCUCGGUCUGGAGGAUAAAUCUGCACCAUCUUCUCUUUGUUGGGUUUCAGCCCGUCGUGUUGCAAGGAGUUCCUGAUGUGCGAUACACGACACCCAACAUGAUGGGCUCCAGCAGCUGGGGAUGGGCGUGUGGUCACCGACGGGACUCACACCCUUGGCCAGACGGCGGUGUCCAAGAGAAAGCGAUCAAGAACAUAAGGGGAGUUCCCAUCGUGGUACAGUGGUUAACGAAUCCGACUAGGAACCAUGAGGUUGCGGGUUCGGUCCCUGCCCUUGCUCAGUGGGUUAACGAUCC